UGCCUAUUUAUUGCCUCCUCCAAACCCUAUUUUUCUACAUAGAUAAACAGUGAUAUUCCAUUCUCCAUUCAUUCCUCUUCAGAACAAACUAAAUUUCAUCCCCUUUCACACUCCUGAAGCACCAGACAUGUAUCAACCACCAGGAUAUCCCUAUCCCCCUCAAGGUUCUUACCCAGGACUUCGAUCUCCUGUAAUGCCACCUCCAUAACAGCAUCAUUAUCCUCCUCCAGAAAUGCCACCUUCACAACAGCAUCAUUAUCAUCAUUAUCCUCCUCCAGUAAUGUCACCUCCAUAACAGCAUCCUUAUCCUCCUCCUCAACGCCAGGAAGAACCUAGUUUCCUUGACGGAAUGUACUCUCUCUCUCUCUGUUUAUUUUCUUUUCUUGUUUCAUUAAUGAAGAAUUUUACCUCAAUUUUGAUUUGGAUCUUAUGACAGUCUCGCUACUUUAUUUUGCUGUUGGCUAGCUAGUUGAUGCGUGUUGCGCCGACCCCCCAACAGCGAUUUCCCCAGCGGCCCCCCCAUCGGUGUCGUAUAUUAUCAUCGAACAAAUUAAUAUUUCCUGUCUGCACUAAUUAAUGUACUGAUGCAUUUUAAGAUAAUUGCAAGCAUUGUUAUUUUAAUUUUAAUUUCAAUUUCAUCAUCUUGAGUAGUUUAAAUGUUUAA
Molecule: long non-coding RNA, 664 nt
Organism: Olea europaea var. sylvestris
Lineage: Eukaryota; Viridiplantae; Streptophyta; Magnoliopsida; Lamiales; Oleaceae
Exons: 2
Source: RefSeq, a predicted model, not a curated record